This is a long non-coding RNA of Syngnathus typhle (broad-nosed pipefish), 279 nucleotides long. RefSeq lists it as uncharacterized. Lineage: Eukaryota; Metazoa; Chordata; Actinopteri; Syngnathiformes; Syngnathidae. The transcript is spliced from 3 exons. The record is from RefSeq and is a predicted model, not a curated record.
UUUGGUGACUUGAAUUGAGCUUUCUCGGCUACCGUACACUUCCGCUUCAGUGGGCAGCUAGCUCUUCAGGUUGUUAACUUUUGGGCUUUCGAACUGGAGUCUCCACGUCGGCUGCUGGUCGUCUAUCUGCAUAUCUCGAAAGAGUAAACAAUCACAACAAAGUAACAAGUUGAAUGGCAGUCUGCUUGUCGGCCGGUGGGACGAGUGGUCGGCCGGUGGGACGAGUGGUCGGCCGGUGGGACGAGUGGUCGGCCGGUGGGACGAGUGGUCGGCCGGUGG